AGCCAUUUCACUAGAAGACACGAGAUGCGCAGGACCCCUUGAGAUGAAAGAAACUGCCCUGCCCUCUCCCACCGUGUCAUUUUCUCUUGUUGACUUAAUAGCCCUGUCAAUAUUCAGCUACGUUUGUGGCCACAUUUCUCUGCCUUCCUGUAGCCAAUGGAGUGUGAAGAAGGGAAGUGUGCCACAUCUGGGACAAGAUCCCUUAAAGAAAGUGUCAUGCCCCUCCUUCUGGUGUCUUCCAUCCUGCUCUGGAGACGUUGACUCACCUUGGACCUGGGGGCACAGAACUGCGCCCAGAUGGCUGAGCAGGUGGCUGGGAGAGCCUGAUUUGGGGACCAUCCCUACUGCCCCCAAAUGCCUUCAUCCAGACUUUGACCGCAGAGGGAAGGAAACCUGAUCUUGUUUCAGCCAUCGUUAUUUGGGAUCUCUUUCACGUGCAGCCAAAAAGAAUCCUCCCGAAAGUGAAAAAUGGAAAACUAGACUCCUAUCCUUAUCAUCAGAGAUCCUGCCAUGAUGCCACACUCGGGGAUUCAGGGGGACACCCAGGAACUUGACAUGCCAGCGGGGAACAGAGAGAAGCCGGCAGCCGGGAGCUGCUCAGAGAUCCCCUGCGGAGUCACACGGCCAGCGCGGGCGCCGAGGACACCGGAUUCUCUCUGCUGGAGUAGGACCUGGCCCUGAGCUGGGCUGCCUUCACUUCCCGCUGCGGACCUCCUUGGAACAGAGGCUCAGUGACCUCAGUAAUGCCUGUAGGCCGAGAACAGGCUCUGGAAGAGUCCUGGGCAGGAAUGGGCCCCUCUGUCCUCCCAGUGUGAGUCUAGAUGGGGCGGCAACUCCCUUCCCUUGCUUCUCAGAGUGCGGCAUUUUACCACCCCUUCGCUGCCUUGGCCUUGGAGGUCAGACCUUCUGGAAGGAAAGGCAAUCCUGCAGUGAGUUUUGGCAAAAACUGAGCUUUGCCUCCUCUCUCGGCUGUAAUUCACCCCUGCCGUGGGGAAGACAUGAACUCUUCCAAGGAAAGGUGCUGACUUGCUGCUACGGGGAGAAGUUGUGCUCCCUGCUGGAGAGCGGCAGCGUGGGGCACUCUGUGCUGUCUCUGUGGUUUCUGCAGUGCCAGUGAAAGAAGGGAGGGGAAGCGUUCUCGUCCAUCAGACAGACAAACCAAGACCCAGAGCCCAGCAUCGCCCUCCCUCACCUGUCUUAGUCAAGGAACGGGACCUCGUAACUCCGACUGCCAACAUUUUCUGACUGACUUGGGUUUUGUGUCAAACUUCAAGACUGUCUUGGAAAGGCUCUGAUUAACCUCAGGCCAUAUGGUACCCCAAGUCCUACCUCCACCCCACGUGGACUGCGGGGCUGCUCGUGGAAGGCUUUCCAAGGGAAGAAAGAGGAAAUGUUAG
RNAcentral lists this long non-coding RNA (1397 nucleotides) under Ursus maritimus (polar bear). Its description in RNAcentral is "lncRNA (ENSUMAG00000015969.1)". The record is from RNAcentral. Lineage: Eukaryota; Metazoa; Chordata; Mammalia; Carnivora; Ursidae.